CCUCCUGGCUCAGAGCCUUCUGCAGACUUUGCCACUGUGCUUGUCUGUGGAUCUGUGUGGCUUCUCAGCCUCACCUUGAUGCCGGCUGGACGGCAGAGGGCUGCACCAGUCCACAUGGACUCCAGGUGGCGCACCAGCUCCGUGUCUGGGGAUCCCCGCUCCCAGCUCGGGACCCCAGACAGUGCCAGACGCCUCCUUGGUGGGCAGCUCCUGGCUGCUCUGCCCGUCUGCAGCCUCCAGGCCACCCUGGGAGGCCCAGGUUCCGGGAGGUAUGAUCAGUGUGUCCACACCAGACUGCAGGCAGAGCAGAGUUGAGGGACCAAGAAGGGUUGGGACAGGUGGGCAGGACCCCAGAACCACUCACAGCCCCGCUGGGUGGAAGCAAAUGGCCCCUCCUCACCCCUGCCCACCUUCUUGGCAGUCUGCCCCCAGGACUGGUCAGACAAGUUCUCGUGGCUGGCCUGGGUGUGGUCACCCUCUGGUGGGGGCCAGCAACGGGGCAAGGCGGGGAGCCUGGCACGCUAAGUCCUGGCACAGGGUCAGGGCAGUGACCCAUCUGUCCCACGCCUGGAGACCUCUGCAUGCCACGCGCCUGCCCUGCCCUGCUGUGGAGCUGGUCACCAUGCGUCAGGGAAGGGCUGGCAUGGCGUGAGGACCCGUCUGUCCUGCGUGGCCAGCUCGGCUGCCACCUCCUCGCCUUGUCUCUGCCCUGCCCGGAACACCAGGGCGCCCCAAGCUGGCCUCAAUGCUCACUCCCUGCCUGGCAUCCUGGCUUACAGUGGUGAGGCAGUACCUGCGCAGAGCAGCCUAGCGCCUGGUGCUCAGCCCCAGAGAGGCCCCCACCCUGCUCAGCAGACCAGGAGACGGCCCAGCACCCACGGCCCCAGCCUCCUCCUGCCUCAUCCUCAAGGCCUGGUCCAGGCCACCUCCUCCCGGAAGCCCAGGCCCCGAGGCAGGACAGGAGGUGUGCAGGAAUUAGAUAUUUCCUGGGAAACUAGAAAAACAUCCCAGCUGAGGUUGGGAGGUGAAUCACCAGUGGGCAGGGCGUGGUCCUGGCUGUCUGGGCUCUCCUGUCCCAACCUUCCACUCCCUGAAACCUGCAGCACCUGCUGCACCCACCACCCUCUUGUCGACACGCUCCUUCUCUUGGAGGCCUUUCCUGGGGUCCCCCCAGUUCCAUGCGCUGUAUCCUCCUGCUGUCCGACCCAUGGACUGACCCCAGCUCACAGUCUCAGUCUCGGCCCCAGGGAGCGCAGGUCAGCUCAAAUCCAGACCUGGCUCAGCUAGGGCUGUGGACACGCUGCAAGCCCUCGUGCAGUCUCUGGGCAGACCCGGGACUUGCAGGCCAGGGGAAAGUGUGGACGUCAUGAGGCAGUGGCAUCCCUGUCCUUGCAGUGUCCACAGUGACUGUGUGUGUGUGUUCUCGGGUCCACAUAAAGGGGCAGAUGCCCUGUGUCCAGCUACAACCCCCUCCCAAAGGAGCCUGCAGCAAAGAAGAAUUGCUGGGAGGAAGAUCACCCUGCUUUAUUGCCUGGGCCUUAAGGUAAUCAGGGGUGUCCCUCUCCAGCCAGGACCUGGGAUUCCGUUUCAGGAGCUCGGGCUGAACGGCCACCUUCCUGGUGGGUCUGAGCCCCAGUGCCUGGUGUGAAGGGGCAGACGCCCAUGACAACAGCCACCCCGCAUGUCCCGGCAUGUCCCGGCACUGUGUGAGCCACAUUUGCUGAAGUCUGGGUCCUGGCCCUGGCAGGGUGGGCUGGGCUAGGAGAUGACACAGCAGCAGCAGCUGUGGCAGCGGCAGAAGGGGGGGCAGUGGCAGCAGUGGCAGCAGGGGCAGCAGCAGCAGUGGUGGGCGAUGUCAUCCCCGCGCCCCGCGGGCGGAGGGCCAGCGUAGGUCAGUCCGGCCUGGCGCUGACUGCUGCUGUAGGGGUUGCCAGGCUGCUGCCAGGCCUGCUGGUUCUGGAUGGGGGCAGCCCCCUGGUUACCCUUGGCGCCCUUGGGCCCUGGGACCUCGGUCGGCUGCAAGAGGUGGGUUGGCUCUGGGGCACAGGGCCCCACUGGCAGGGGCUGCAUCUCCGAGGAUGAGGAACAGGUGGAAGCCACCUCUAACUGCUGCCCCAGGUCAGGCCGCAGGUGAGCCCGGGGGAUGCUGAUGUGGGCAUAUGGGUUCUUGACGACCAUCUCUUGGGGGUCCAUGGUCCAGCCUGCAGGGGUGGGCAGAGAAGACAGACAUGAACUCAGUGGAGUGGGAUGGCUGCCCACGAGCCUGCGGCCCAGGAAAGCCCCCACCAGGAGCAGCGUGCCUCGUCCAAGCUCAGCAUCCCCAAGGCAUCAGUGCCGGGGUGCCAUCACCUCCAAAUGUGUGUGCAAGGCUAGUGUCAUGGGUGUGAGCCAAGUGUGAGCAAGCAGCAAGGGCCGGUGUCUCCCAGCUGCCACCCCUGCCAGGGAUCCUCCCCCUCCCCUGGUGGCAUUGGUCCUGGGAUGGAGCUGGGAAUGGGGUCGGGGAGGCUGAGAGAUGGGAGAGAAGGGGGCUGACCCUGCAGUGCCCCUGAGUUCAGGGCAGUCCCGGCGGCCAAGGGCUUACCUGUGGUGGCAACACGGCAGUCUGUCCUCUCGGUCUUCUGAGCUCUAGGUCCCAGUGCCUGAGUUGAGCGACUGGCAGCCGCCUUUUCCCUCCUUGGGAGGGGCGGGGCCAUGGGGCGGGGCUCAGAGAUGGGGUUCCCAAGAUCCCAAGAGGCCCCAGCAACUGGAGCACGACAGCUGGCCCAGCCCUCGUCCUCAGGCUCAUCUCAAACUCCUGGACUGAAGUGAUCCGCCUGCCUCCACCUCCCAAAGUGCUGGAUUCCAGGCGUGAGCCAGCGUGCCCAGUGGCUUUUCUGCUUUUUUCACUGAUAAAAAAUGUUUGAUUUG
This 2907-nucleotide long non-coding RNA is filed under the name Homo sapiens (human). RNAcentral describes it as "HSALNT0157068". Lineage: Eukaryota; Metazoa; Chordata; Mammalia; Primates; Hominidae. The record is from RNAcentral.